GCUUACGGCACACCUCCCUGGCACGCCCGAUCUCGUCUGAUCCGGAGCUAAGCAGGGUCGGGCCCGGUUAGUACUUGGAUGGGAGACCGCCUGGGAAUACCAGGUGCUGUAGCCU
This 115-nucleotide ribosomal RNA is filed under the name Esox lucius (northern pike). Lineage: Eukaryota; Metazoa; Chordata; Actinopteri; Esociformes; Esocidae. The record is from RNAcentral.